GGUCUGGGCGCAGCGCAAGCUGACGGUACAGGCC
RNAcentral lists this unclassified non-coding RNA (34 nucleotides) under synthetic construct. The record is from RNAcentral.